GCUGGCUUAGCUUAGCUGCCUCCCGUAGGAGUGCGCUUUGGUAGGAGACUAAGGGGGAGGGGAGCAGGGUAGGUCUAGAAAGACAGUAGCAAAGAGGGGGGUGAGGCUUAGGGAGGGAGGAGAGAGACACUUCCAGGAGUGGCUGCACGGGCGGCGGUGCCGGGAGGGAGGUUUAGCAGCGGCUGGGCUCUUAGAGGCAAGUUGUCGUUCCAGUACCGUCUUUGGUAUCUAGAUUGUCCCCUACCUCCGCAAGAAUUCUGCCACCAGUCUUUUCGUUUCCUACUACGAUAUUCGGGUAGACUAUCGGAAGGUAACCAACUACAAGUAAUACUUCCCUGUGAACGACUUUUACCGCUUCAAAAACUGUGGUGUGUACUUCUGUUAAGAUAAAAAAGUAAACUUCAACCGGUCCCUCGACAGUAAUUUCGUACCCUAUAUCGGAAUUCUUGAUACUUUCAACCGCUCUAACGUUUUUAUUGUACGUCCGGCCUUAUACGCAUACCUUCAGGUCCGAGCGGCGGUCUCUAUGGUCGCUUACGUUGUGAGUAAAAACUCCACCUUAAUGACCGAACGUUCGGUUCCUUUCCAAGUUCAGACCCGUCACAUAGACUACUCUUUCGGUCCGAUCUCCUCGAAUUCUUUGUCGCCCUCGACAGACGGCGGUGGUUUCUCCUUCUCUUCUUCUUCUCCCUCCUCCGUUUCCGGCGCCGUCGCCGAGCACACGUUCGGUUUGAACUGCGGUUCUUCCCGUUCCCUUUUCCUUUCCCGUUUAUCUAAUGAGGGUUGACUACAUAAUCAGCAACGUAAACGACGACUCACGAUGACAACAUUGGAUGAGGGAGGCAGAGUAGUUUUUUGUAAAAUGUAAUACCCUACAUCAUCAUCUUUUAUUAGACGUGUUUCGUAUCUAACGGACAACGGAACAACCGAUGACACGAAGCCCCCUCUACCGCAUACAACGGGUCGUGGUCGGAAUGACUUUUGUAAUUUAUUAGUGUCGUUAGAAGAGAACCAAAAAUGACGCGUC
Molecule: ribosomal RNA, 1027 nt
Filed under: Triticum aestivum (bread wheat)
Lineage: Eukaryota; Viridiplantae; Streptophyta; Magnoliopsida; Poales; Poaceae
Description: partial small subunit ribosomal RNA
Source: RNAcentral